GAAUCUUGCGCAAUGGCCGAGAGGCUGACGCAGCGACGCCGCGUGGGGGAGGAAGGUCUUCGGAUCGUAAACCCCUGUCAGGAGGGACGAAUAGCCCGGGGAGGCAAUGCCCCGUGGAAUGACGGUACCUCCAGAGGAAGCACCGGCUAACUCCGUGCCCGCAGCCGCGGUAAUACGGAGGGUGCGAGCGUUGUUCGGAAUUAUUGGGCGUAAAGCGCGCGCAGGCGGCCUGGGAAGUCUAUGGGUGAAAUGCCGGGGCUCAACUCCGUGUAUGCCCAGGAUACUCUCAGGCUGGAGACACGUAGAGGCAAGCGGAAUUCCGGGUGUAGCGGUGGAAUGCGUAGAGAUCCGGAAGAACACCGGAGGCGAAGGCGGCUUGCUGGGCGUGAUCUGACGCUGAGGCGCGAAAGCGUGGGGAGCGAACAG
Molecule: ribosomal RNA, 426 nt
Filed under: uncultured bacterium
Lineage: Bacteria
Description: bacterial SSU rRNA
Rfam family: Bacterial small subunit ribosomal RNA
Source: RNAcentral